GACGAACGCUGGCGGCGUGCCUAAUACAUGCAAGUAGAACGCUGAAGGAUGAGCUUGCUUCUCUGGAUGAGUUGCGAACGGGUGAGUAACGCGUAGGUAACCUGCCUUGUGGCGGGGGAUAACUAUGGGAAACGAUAGCUAAUACCGCAUAAGAGUAGAUGUUUCAUGACAUUUUCUUAAAAGGUGCAAUUGCAUCACUACCAGAUGUACCUGCAUUGUAUUAGCUAGUUGGUGAGGUAACGGCUCACCAAGGCAACGAUACAUAGCCGACCUGAGAGGGGGAGUGACCACCCUGGGACUGAGACAGGGCCGAGACACCUGAGGGAGGACGCAGUAGGGAAUCUUAGGCAAGGGAGGGGAGUCUGACAGUGCAAAGCGGCGGAAGUGCAGAAGGAUUUAGGAUCGUAAAGCUCGGUUGUAAGAGAAGAACGAGUGUGCGGGUGGAAAGUUCAAAAUGUGACGGUAUCUUACCAGAAAGGGACGGCUAACUACGUG
This 495-nucleotide ribosomal RNA is filed under the name uncultured bacterium. RNAcentral describes it as "partial 16S ribosomal RNA". It matches the Rfam family "Bacterial small subunit ribosomal RNA", at positions 28 to 507 of the family's 1533-position model. The record is from RNAcentral.